UUUGAUACCGUAUAGAGAUUAUGCGAGGAGGAUAUCAACUUUCUUUACAAAGGUUGAGUUUCAUCAUAUUUCAAGCGUUUAUCCCCAGCAUGGUUGAUGUGAUGUUCUCCUUGUGGUUCAUCAUCUUUCCCCAGCUGAGGCCUUUGUGAAUUUUCAUUCUCAGUUUGCAUUUAUUAUGAUUGAACCUUGGAUCUCCGUAAAACCUUUAUUUGGUUUUUAGGUUCCUAACACCUUUAUUUGGUUGUUGCAUAGCCAUGGCAUGAUUUC
This 267-nucleotide long non-coding RNA is filed under the name Lathyrus oleraceus (garden pea). RNAcentral describes it as "Pisum sativum (pea) long non-coding RNA (PSAT_LNC005489)". Lineage: Eukaryota; Viridiplantae; Streptophyta; Magnoliopsida; Fabales; Fabaceae. The record is from RNAcentral.